Molecule: ribosomal RNA, 253 nt
Filed under: uncultured bacterium
Lineage: Bacteria
Description: partial 16S ribosomal RNA
Rfam family: Bacterial small subunit ribosomal RNA
Source: RNAcentral
UACAGAGGGUGCGAGCGUUAAUCGGAAUUACUGGGCGUAAAGGGCGCGUAGGUGGUUUAUUAAGAUUGAUGUGAAAUCCCUGGGCUUAACCUAGGAACGGCAUCGAUGACUGAUAGGCUAGAGUACUGUAGAGGGUAGUGGAAUUUCCGGUGUAGCGGUGAAAUGCGUAGAGAUCGGAAGGAACACCAGUGGCGAAGGCGGCUACCUGGACAGCUACUGACACUGAGGCGCGAGAGCGUGGGGAGCAAACAGG